AAAUAAGAAGUAAUUUAUUACAUUUAGUUUCGACCUAAAAAACAGGUUUAUAUAAACCCUUAUUUU
Molecule: transfer RNA, 66 nt
Filed under: Nitidulidae sp. KM-2017
Lineage: Eukaryota; Metazoa; Arthropoda; Insecta; Coleoptera; Nitidulidae
Description: tRNA-Arg
Source: RNAcentral